This 986-nucleotide ribosomal RNA is filed under the name human gut metagenome. RNAcentral's name for it is "bacterial LSU rRNA". It matches the Rfam family "Bacterial large subunit ribosomal RNA", at positions 1938 to 2925 of the family's 2925-position model. The record is from RNAcentral.
AACUAUAACGGUCCUAAGGUAGCGAAAUUCCUUGUCAGGUAAGUUCUGACCCGCACGAAAGGUGUAACGAUUUGGGCGCUGUCUCGGCAGCAGACUCGGUGAAAUCUUAGUACCUGUGAAAAUGCAGGUUACCCGCAACUAGACGGAAAGACCCCAUGGAGCUUUACUGCAGCCUGAUAUUGAAUUCUGGUCAUACAUGUACAGGAUAGGUGGGAGACAAAGAGACGUGCACGCCAGUGUACGAGGAGUCGCCGUUGGGAUACCACUCUUGUGUGACCGGGGUUCUAACCUGGUAUCGAGAACAGGUACGGGGAGAGUGUCAGGUGGGCAGUUUGACUGGGGCGGUCGCCUCCCAAAGAGUAACGGAGGCGCCCAAAGGUACGCUCAGAUUGGAUGGAAACCAAUCGACGAGUGCAAUUGCAGAAGCGUGCUUGACUGUGAGACAGACAAGUCGAACAGGGACGAAAGUCGGGAAUAGUGAUCCGGCGGUGCCGAAUGGAAGGGCCGUCGCUCAACGGAUAAAAGCUACCCUGGGGAUAACAGGCUGAUCUCGCCCAAGAGUUCACAUCGACGGCGAGGUUUGGCACCUCGAUGUCGGCUCAUCGCAUCCUGGAGCUGGAUUCGGUUCCAAGGGUUGGGCUGUCCGCCCAUUAAAGCGGUACGCGAGCUGGGUUCAGAACGUCGUGAGACAGUUCGGUCCCUAUCUGUUGUGGGCGAAGGAGAUCUGCGGAGAGCUGUCCUCAGUACGAGAGGACCGGGAUGGACCUACCGCUGGUGCACCGGUUGUUCCGCCAGGGGCAUAGCCGGGUAGCUAAGUAGGGAAAGGAUAAGCGCUGAAAGCAUCUAAGCACGAAGCCUACUCCAAGAUGAGAUCUCCCAUUCGCAAGAAGUAAGACCCCUUAAAGACGAUAAGGUAGAUAGGCCAGGGAUGGAAGUGCAGUGAUGUACGGAGUUGACUGGUACUAAUCGGUCGAGGACUUAAUCAG